GGGCGCGGCUCGGAGCCGGGUCGUCGCUAUAGCAAUCGGGAAUCGCUACCUGUCCCUUCCAAGGAUUCGGUCCACCUGAAGCGUGAGGAGGUGGCGGAGGCCCCAAGGGCUCUGCGCUGUCACUUCCGCGGCCUGCGGGCGAGAAGGUGCGCUUCGGGAGUAGCGCGGGAGGACAGGAGGCGCAGGUUGUGAGGGACGCAGGCCGGGGCUUCCGUCUCUGUCCUCCGAGCUCAGAGCCCCCAGGCUUCUUCCCGGCCGCGCGCUCAGCACUCACUGUCUUACGUUCCCGAAGCGCUUUAAGGUGCGCAGUCCGCAGGCCUUGCCUACUGAUCUUCGAGCCACCCCUUGAAGGAAGCAGUUGCAGACGCUGAGCACAGUGCCAAACCUAGAUAGAAACUCAUUUGGGAUAUGGAGGAGAAUAUGCCACCAGUUCUCCAAAGUAGAGGGAUCCCCAGAACCAGCUCUGUGAUCACAAGUGAAGUCAAGGGACUGACCAGACACAUGAACCUAGAUCUCUGCAAAGAGCCCUGGGACCCAGAUGGGAGAGGUCCAGGGCCUGGUUCCAUCUUCCCUCCCUCUCUUGAUGUGUGGCCCUGCUCAAGGCGUUGGACUGCAGUGGACCUCCAUAUCCUUCUUUUGGAAAACAGAGUUAACAAUACCUGCCCCGUUCAGAGGAGAAAUGAGGUCAUGUUUGUGCAGCAUUGUGAGCUCACUGGAGACAAUGAGUGUAUUCUUCUUAACAGUAACAAUAAUAAUCAUUACUGCAAAUCUAACCAGUAAAUAUAUCUCCUCAAAGCUGGAGUUGGCCCCUCAGUAGGA
Long non-coding RNA from Piliocolobus tephrosceles (Ugandan red Colobus), 819 nucleotides. RefSeq lists it as uncharacterized. The record is from RefSeq and is a predicted model, not a curated record. The transcript is spliced from 3 exons. Lineage: Eukaryota; Metazoa; Chordata; Mammalia; Primates; Cercopithecidae.